CCUACGGGUGGCUGCAGUGGGGAAUAUUGCACAAUGGGGGAAACCCUGAUGCAGCGACGCCGCGUGAGCGAGGAAGUAUUUCGGUAUGUAAAGCUCUAUCAGCAGGGACGAACAAUGACGGUACCUGACUGAGAAGCCUCGGCUAACUACGUACCAGCAGCAGCGGUAAUACGUAGGGGGCAAGCGUUAUUCGGAGUUACUGGGUGUAAAGGGAGCGUAGACGGCAAGGCAAGUCAGAAGUGAAAGGGCAGGGCUCAACCCUGGACAUGCUUUUGGAACUGGGGUGCUAGAGUGCUGGAGAGGUAAGUGGAAUUCCUGGUGUAGCGGUGAAAUGCGUAGAUAUUAGGAGGAACACCAGUGGCGAAGGCGACUUACUGGACUGUAACUGACGUUGAGGCUCGAAAGCGUGGGGAACAAACAGGAUUAGAUACCCGUGUAGUC
Molecule: ribosomal RNA, 441 nt
Filed under: uncultured bacterium
Lineage: Bacteria
Description: partial 16S ribosomal RNA
Rfam family: Bacterial small subunit ribosomal RNA
Source: RNAcentral